UGCCUUUAGCUUCAAUUAGAGUCUUUAGCUUCAAUUUAUGUCCUUGGCUUGAAACCAAGAAAAAGAAAACCUUUCGUCACAUUUCUUGCCAAGUUAGCUUGAAAUCAAAAACUUGGAAAACAUAAAACAUUUUCGUCCAAAAAAUUUAACUACUUAGCCAAAGAAUUUCGACUGAAAUUUCAAAAGAAGCCACCACAAAUUUCGCUUCAAAAUUUCAAAGGACUCGGGCAGAAUCAACAUAUUUCACGGAAGCAGAAGCUUCAUUCCGUUCAAAUAAUUCCAGGAACAUGUAUUUUAAAGCCCUCCCUUCUUUCUUUUGGCAUGGUCCAUAUGAUACUGAAGAAACGAGCAAACACACAGUUUCCAUAAAUUACUCUAUUCAUAGAAACAGUAGGGGUGUCUAUAUUCUUGAUUCCCCAUGAGAAUUAUUAUUAUCUUCUGUUCAUGGGUAUCAGAAUAAUACGCAGUUGAAAAAGUUUAUCUGGAAGGAAUAUUGAGAUUAUUACAUAUUUUUCAUGCAUUUCACUCAUUUAUACAUGUGCAUUGACCCAUGAUCAGAUGGUGUUAUAUACGCGUAUAUAUGUAAAUAUAUGUAUAUGGGAUAUGGAAAAAGGUUACGGCGUUAUAUAUGCACCACCACCUGAUCAGCUGGUAUAUGUUGAUGAUGUUGCCCACAGUGGCCGAGACGAUAUGAUGGGAUGCCCUCAGUGGCUUGAUGAUAUUAUGUACACCCACACCUAUGCAUGGCACAAUAUUUAUACGCACGUGCAUGACAUUAUAAACGUUUCAGAAUUUAUAAAGUUAUUCAUGUUUAAAGAAGUGUUUAUGUAUUCCAUGUUUCAUCUAUGUCUUUUACGUACAAAUUUUUAUGCCUUAUAUACUCAGUACAUUUUUCAUACUGACGCCCUAUUUCACGGGGCCUACGUUUCAUGCCCGCAGGUGCAUGUAGGUAAGCUGACAGUCCCCCUUUUUAGGAUCCCUGAUCAACGGGAGUUGGCGUGCUCCAUUUGAUCCAGAGCUGCUUUUAAUUUUGGUACGAUACGUUUGUAUAUAUAUAAUUGUAUGUGGGUAUGACGUGGUUCAGCCUCGUCUUUGAACAGUUAUGUUUUUGUUAGAGGUCUGUGGACAGUAUGUCUAGUUGGGUUGUAUGUGGCCUUGUCGGCUUUCAGUUUUG
This 1174-nucleotide long non-coding RNA is filed under the name Nicotiana tabacum (common tobacco). RNAcentral's name for it is "long non-coding RNA (NTAB_LNC013582)". The record is from RNAcentral. Lineage: Eukaryota; Viridiplantae; Streptophyta; Magnoliopsida; Solanales; Solanaceae.